RNAcentral lists this unclassified non-coding RNA (3124 nucleotides) under Hevea brasiliensis (rubber tree). Lineage: Eukaryota; Viridiplantae; Streptophyta; Magnoliopsida; Malpighiales; Euphorbiaceae. The record is from RNAcentral.
CGUCAACCAAGAACCAACAACGGAAAACCAAAAUUCAAAUCACAAGAAAACAAAAAUUUGAUAGAGAGAGAAAAAAUAAAAAAAUAAAGGAAAAAGAAACAGUUUCCCUCAGGAAGGAAAGAAAGUCUUCGCUCCCUCAACACCUUCUCUCUCUGUUUACUUUGGCUUUAUUGGCUUAUAAUAAUUCCUUUAUUUAUAUUGUUUAAAGCUGGUUCUCUUAAAAACUUGGCCGGAACUUCAUUUCAAAAGGGAGGGAAGCGGAGAAAAGUAAGAGGAAAAUCCAUAUUUUAUCUUGGCGUCCAAACAGAACGUGGCGAAUCAAAUGUGAUGGGAAGUGGUUUCUCCUCCCUCUUCCCUUGCUUCAAACCGGGGACUAACCGGACCCAACACGAACAACCCGACUUGAUCUUCACUGCCUCUGAGCCGUUGGAUGAAACCCUAGGUCACUCUUUCUGCUACGUUCGAUCCUCUAACCGCUUCGUCUCUCCCACUCCCUCCGAUCGAUUUGUCUCUCCUUCUCACUCCCUGCGUUUCUCUCCUUCCCGGGCUGCAACCGUUUCCGAGACCCGACCCGGAUUGCCUGAGACUGGGUUUAAGUCCAUUUCCGGCGCUUCUGUUAGUGCCAACGCUUCGACGCCUAGAACUGUACUCCAACUUGAGAAUAUUUACGAUGAUGCCUUUGACAGUAGUGGGUUUGCUGCUGGUGUUACUGGUGGUGGAGUGAGGGACAGUAUUGUGAACGUGGAGGGGUUCGAAAGCACGGCGUCGUUCAGGGCUUUGCGGUUGCAACCGGUGCCGCCUGGCGGAGAGGGGUUCUUCAUGUCGGGUCCCAUUGACGAGGGUGCUCUAUCCGGUCCACUCGACACGAACUCGGGGACCGACAGUAGCGGGCGGGUACACUUCUCGGCGCCGCUUGGUGGCACGUAUAUGAAAAAGAAGCGAAGGAAUGGCAUUUCUGGGAUUAAGAAGGCAUUAUAUCGGAACUUAUCGGAGAAGAAACGGCCGUGGGUGGUGCCGGUGCUGAAUUUCGUGAACCGGAAAGAGACUUCGGGAACCGGAGAGGAGAGGGAGAAACAUGAUGAGAGUAAUGUGCAGUGGGCGUUAGGGAAAGCGGGAGAGGAUCGGGUCCACGUGGUUGUAUCUGAGGAGCAGGGUUGGUUGUUUGUUGGGAUUUAUGAUGGGUUUAAUGGCCCUGACGCGCCUGAAUUCUUGAUGGGGAAUCUCUAUAGGGCUGUGUAUAACGAACUUCAAGGGUUGUUUUGGGACCUUGAAGAGCCUGACGAGGCAAGUAAUGUAGCAUCAACAAUUGUAGUGGAAAGUGACAAUACGACUAACUCAUCACUAGAAAGAAACGGUAAAGAUUAUGGGGAGGGUUCAAUCGGUGAAGCAGAAUCGAAUUUAGUUAAUUUAGAAAAUGUAGCUAAAGAUGAUUCGUCAAAGGAAACGGGUGUUGAAAAGGACGGGGAUGGUACAAUUGGCGGAAUUGAAUCGAGCUCGGUGCCUCAUGAAAGGGCAAAGAGGGUAACGUUUCAAUCAGAGGGGAUAGAGAUUACACAGAGAAGACGAUUAUGGGAAUUCCUUGCUGAGGAUGAUGCAGAAGACGGGCUUGAUCUUUCAGGGUCUGAUAGAUUUGCCUUUUCUGUUGAUGAUGCAAUUAGUGUUGGCAAUGCGGGGUCUGCAGUCAGUAGAAGGUGGUUAUUGCUGUCAAAACUGAAACAAGGGUUGUCAAAACGUAGGGAGAAUAAUAUUUUUCCAUGGAAAUUUGGAUUGGAGAGAAGAGAGGAGAAGGUGGAGAGUAGUAGAGUGGAGGAGAGGGUUUUGAAGAGGAAGCGGAAGGUAGGACCUGUUGAUCAUGAUUUGGUUUUGAGGGCAUUAUCAAGAGCGCUAGAAAUGACUGAGCUAGCAUACUUGGAUAUGACCGAUAAGGUGCUGGAUACAAACCCAGAGUUAGCAUUGAUGGGUUCAUGUUUAUUGGUGGUCUUGAUGAGAGAUGAGGAUGUAUAUGUGAUGAAUGUGGGUGAUAGCAGGGCAAUCGUGGCGCAGUAUGAGCCAGAAGAUGUUGGUUCUUGUGUGGAUGGUUCCGGAUUGACCAUGGAGGAGCUAACUGAGGGUCCUGCUCAAGCAAUGAGGUUGACUGCAUUGCAGCUGUCCACUGAUCACAGCACAAGCAUUGAAGAAGAAAUCUUAAGAAUCAAGACUGAACACCUUGAUGACAGCCAGUGUAUUGUCAAUGAUAGAGUGAAAGGUCGUCUUAAGGUUACCAGAGCAUUCGGAGCAGGAUUUCUCAAACAGCCAAAAUUUAAUGAUGCAGUGUUGGAGAUGUUUCGGAAUGAGUAUAUUGGUACUGCACCAUAUAUAUCCUGCAUGCCUUCUCUCUGUCACCACCGACUGUGUCCAAGAGAUCAAUUUGUAGUCCUCUCAUCUGACGGACUAUAUCAGUAUCUGACCAAUCAGGAAGUGGUUUCUCAUAUUGAGAGUUUCAUGGAGAAGUUUCCAGAUGGAGACCCAGCGCAGCACCUGAUAGAGGAGAUUCUUUCUCGCGCAGCCAAGAAAGCCGGGAUGGAUUUCCAUAAAUUACUAGACAUACCACAAGGAGACCGACGGAAGUACCAUGAUGACAUUACUGUUAUGGUGAUAUCUCUUGAAGGAAGAAUCUGGAAGUCAUCAGGAAAGUAUCCUUGAAAUCUUGGUACAUUGCUGUCUCUCAACUGGUGACCACAUUUAAGUGAGAUCAAUAGAAUGCGGUUUCAAUUCUCAAGUUGAUUCUUCUGCAAGCAGUUUAGAGAGUUUGGAUGAUAUGAUCCAUUUUUUUAUGGGUUAGAAAAACAUAUAUUCGGGCUAUACAGAGUUAACAGGGGCCACUCCAAUGAUAUUAGCAAAGACUAAUGCUAGGUAGCCAUUAAUGGUUGAGUAGAUGCCCUGAAGGAAAAAGAACACUAGGGAAAUCUGCAGAUGGGGGUUGGUGGCAAAUGCUCCUUGGAAUGAAAAUGUUUGUUUCCUUGUAAACCCAUGUUUUUCCUACAUAUUUUUGCAUAGUUGGAGACCUUUUUCUAUUCAUAGGUGCAUUAAUUUUACCUUUUAGAGCCAAAAAAAAAAAAAAAAAAAAUAUGUUUUAAUGAGAGUG